UACGGAGGGGGCAAGCGUUGUUCGGAUUUACUGGGCGUAAAGGGCGCGUAGGCGGCUUUGUAAGUUACUUGUGAAAUCUCCGGGCUUAACUCGGAGCGGCCAAGUGAUACUGCAGAGCUAGAGUGCAGAAGGGGCAACUGGAAUUCUUGGUGUAGCGGUGAAAUGCGUAGAGAUCAAGAGGAACACCUGAGGCGAAGGCGGGUUGCUGGGCUGACACUGACGCUGAAGCGAGAAAGCUAGGGGAGCAAACAGG
This 253-nucleotide ribosomal RNA is filed under the name uncultured bacterium. RNAcentral's name for it is "partial 16S ribosomal RNA". It matches the Rfam family "Bacterial small subunit ribosomal RNA", at positions 524 to 776 of the family's 1533-position model. The record is from RNAcentral.